UACGUAGGGUGCAAGCGUUGUCCGGAAUUAUUGGGCGUAAAGAGCUCGUAGGCGGUUCAGUAAGUCGGGUGUGAAAACUCUGGGCUUAACCCAGAGCCGCCACUCGAUACUGCUGUGACUUGAGUUCGGUAGGGGAGCAGGGAAUUCCUAGUGUAGCGGUGAAAUGCGCAGAUAUUAGGAGGAACACCGGUGGCGAAGGCGCUGCUCUGGGCCGAUACUGACGCUGAGGAGCGAAAGCGUGGGUAGCAAACAGG
Molecule: ribosomal RNA, 254 nt
Filed under: uncultured bacterium
Lineage: Bacteria
Description: partial 16S ribosomal RNA
Rfam family: Bacterial small subunit ribosomal RNA
Source: RNAcentral